This is a non-coding RNA of Oryctolagus cuniculus (rabbit), 314 nucleotides long. NCBI's taxonomy places the organism in Eukaryota, Metazoa, Chordata, Mammalia, Lagomorpha, Leporidae. The record is from RefSeq and is a predicted model, not a curated record.
GCUUCUGCACAUUCACUGCCAUCAUAAAGUUUCUCUCCUGUGACUUCUUUGAUAUUCAUUGAGCUCUGAAUUGCAUAGAAAUUUGCAAAGAAAACUUUUCCACAGUCAUUACAUUCAUAAGGUUUCUCCCCUGUGUGAAUUUUCUGAUGAGUUAUGAGGUGUGACUUCUGGCCAAAAGCUUUCCCACACUCAUGGCAUUCAUAAGGUUUCUCUCCUGUGUGAAUUUUCUGAUGAGUUAUGAGGUUUGGCUUCUGGCUACAGGCUUUACCACAGUCAUUGCAUUCAUAAGGUUUUUCAACCAUGUGAAUUCUCUG